This 962-nucleotide ribosomal RNA is filed under the name Psychrobacter sp. BTN3. RNAcentral describes it as "bacterial SSU rRNA". It matches the Rfam family "Bacterial small subunit ribosomal RNA", at positions 52 to 1009 of the family's 1533-position model. Lineage: Bacteria; Pseudomonadati; Pseudomonadota; Gammaproteobacteria; Moraxellales; Moraxellaceae. The record is from RNAcentral.
UACAUGCAGUCGAGCGGAACGAUGAUAGCUUGCUAUCAGGCGUCGAGCGGCGGACGGGUGAGUAAUACUUAGGAAUCUACCUAGUAGUGGGGGAUAGCACGGGGAAACUCGUAUUAAUACCGCAUACGACCUACGGGAGAAAGGGGGCAGUUUACUGCUCUCGCUAUUAGAUGAGCCUAAGUCGGAUUAGCUAGAUGGUGGGGUAAAGGCCUACCAUGGCGACGAUCUGUAGCUGGUCUGAGAGGAUGAUCAGCCACACCGGGACUGAGACACGGCCCGGACUCCUACGGGAGGCAGCAGUGGGGAAUAUUGGACAAUGGGGGAAACCCUGAUCCAGCCAUGCCGCGUGUGUGAAGAAGGCCUUUUGGUUGUAAAGCACUUUAAGCAGUGAAGAAGACUCUUCGGUUAAUACCCGGAGACGAUGACAUUAGCUGCAGAAUAAGCACCGGCUAACUCUGUGCCAGCAGCCGCGGUAAUACAGAGGGUGCAAGCGUUAAUCGGAAUUACUGGGCGUAAAGGGAGCGUAGGUGGCUCGAUAAGUCAGAUGUGAAAUCCCCGGGCUCAACCUGGGAACUGCAUCUGAUACUGUUGAGCUAGAGUAUGUGAGAGGAAGGUAGAAUUCCAGGUGUAGCGGUGAAAUGCGUAGAGAUCUGGAGGAAUACCGAUGGCGAAGGCAGCCUUCUGGCAUAAUACUGACACUGAGGCUCGAAAGCGUGGGUAGCAAACAGGAUUAGAUACCCUGGUAGUCCACGCCGUAAACGAUGUCUACUAGUCGUUGGGUCCCUUGAGGACUUAGUGACGCAGCUAACGCAAUAAGUAGACCGCCUGGGGAGUACGGCCGCAAGGUUAAAACUCAAAUGAAUUGACGGGGGCCCGCACAAGCGGUGGAGCAUGUGGUUUAAUUCGAUGCAACGCGAAGAACCUUACCUGGUCUUGACAUAUCUAGAAUCCUGCAGAGAUGC